AACGAACGCUGGCGGCAUGCCUAACACAUGCAAGUCGAACGAGGCCUUCGGGUCUAGUGGCGCACGGGUGCGUAACGCGUGGGAACCUGCCCUUAGGUUCGGAAUAACUCCCCGAAAGGGGUGCUAAUACCGGAUAAUGUCUUCGGACCAAAGAUUUAUCGCCUUUGGAUGGGCCCGCGUUGGAUUAGCUAGUUGGUAGGGUAAAAGCCUACCAAGGCGACGAUCCAUAGCUGGUCUGAGAGGAUGAUCAGCCACACUGGGACUGAGACACGGCCCAGACUCCUACGGGAGGCAGCAGUGGGGAAUAUUGGACAAUGGGCGAAAGCCUGAUCCAGCAAUGCCGCGUGAGUGAUGAAGGCCUUAGGGUUGUAAAGCUCUUUUACCCGGGAUGAUAAUGACAGUACCGGGAGAAUAAGCGCCGGCUAACUCCGUG
Molecule: ribosomal RNA, 433 nt
Filed under: uncultured bacterium
Lineage: Bacteria
Description: partial 16S ribosomal RNA
Rfam family: Bacterial small subunit ribosomal RNA
Source: RNAcentral